AUACUGCAACUUGGCACCUGAAACCACCGAUGUGGGAUUCACAUCAGCCCAUGGCCUAGGUAAAUGACUUCUAUUGCACUUUGGAGGGGCGCUGCCCUAAGGUCUCCCCCAAUGUGGGAGCCUAUGUCAUAAUUUGUGAAAGUGGGGGCCUGCGUCUGCAUGGCCCCUAU
Tripterygium wilfordii is the source of this 170-nucleotide small nuclear RNA. RefSeq annotates it as U1 spliceosomal RNA. The transcript has a single exon. NCBI's taxonomy places the organism in Eukaryota, Viridiplantae, Streptophyta, Magnoliopsida, Celastrales, Celastraceae. The record is from RefSeq and is a predicted model, not a curated record.